UUUGGCCAACAAAUUAAUGUCCGUCGUUCCUUCUUUGAGUACUGUGAAAAUCAUUACAGAAGAAGAGGAUCAUGAUAUUACUUGGGAAUUUCUGUAUACCAUCUGUGGUAGAACCAUUGCUCUUCGUACGUACCCCACAUCAUGCACAUUUAGAGUUCCAGAAACUGGGCAGGAGGUCACCAAGUGAAUACUCCUUGGAAAUUGAGGACCGUUGCAUGUUUGGAAAUGUUUUAAGCUGGCAUCCUCUAAAACUAACCAUAUGCUGGCUAGUACUCCUCAUGCUGCUAACCAUCAGUUACUCAUCCAAAGAACCUGAUGUGGAAGGUAUAGUGUGGUUUAACCUUUGUCCUUUGUUCUGUUUGUAACUUAGUUUUGUACUCUAUUGAUUAAAAUAUUUUCCCAGAACUUCUCUAAAAAAAUUUAAGAAUUAGAGGGAGAAGACAUAGAAUCUCAUGGAAAUAUGAUAAACUGGUCCAAUUUCCAAUAGCCUCAAGACACUCUGUUAGUCACUAAAAAGAACUUCUCUAAACACAUUAUGUUACUGAGUUUCCCUUUAUUUACUUUUUAAGUAAGAAGAUUUUAUUAAAGUGCAAUGGUGCAACCCCCCAUACACAAGUAGUAUACAUGAGAGACACCUAGCUAGAGUACUCAUUACUUGGGGUGGUGUUAUGAUUUCAUUCAAUCAAGAGGAAUCAGUUGCUUCAACUUUGAGCAUACUUGGAAGAACUGUUAUGUGAGCCUUGAUCCAAUCACGGCAUGGAUUUUGGCGCAGUUUAUGGAAUGCGGAGGGCAUUUAGUGAAGGGGACAUGCUAAAGAGAUGAGUGACGAUUCACAUGAAAUUGAAGCUAAAGAAAAUCGUGCUCAACGUUCAGUCCCCGAUUGAAUGAGAGAAUCCUUUCAUCUUUGUGAAGGAUAUCAGUUGCUGCACACCCUUGGCAUGAUCUCGAGAUUGGGAAUAAACAUAUUGACUUUGUUUUUUUAUUUUUUGGGUGGUAACAUGCUAAAAGAAUGUUCAAGUGAGAUUUUUAGCAUGUAGUUAAGAUCACCAUCUUCGCACUAAUUUCUGUUUCUUUAUGAAUCUCUAACUCUUUCCCCGCAUGCAAAUAUCACUUGUCCAAUAAGAAUUAUCAAAGCAGUUGCACCUUUUUUAUGGUCAUUCCCUUGCAACCCAAUCCAGCAGCGUUCCCAUUCAUCCCAGUGGGUAAAACAUUAGUGCUGCAGGCUAAUUUUGUGACCAUCACCCCCUUUCCUUGCAAAUUAUUCUGAACAUCUAUUAGACUCCAUUUCCCAGCUGCCAAGUUUUCUCAGCCUUCUUAAAUUUCCAGUACUUUCUCUUAUCUAGCAAGAAUUUUCAACUUUUAAAUUGAAACUCGUUUUCUUCAGGCACAUUUUCUAAUGUAUCUCUUUGAUGUAUUACUAAGAGGUUGGUUCAAAAGAUUCAAGUAGUUGUGCAGGUAUAAUGUACUAAAGAACUCAUGUUUUUGUAAUUAUCUGGACAUAUUGCAUUUGGCCUGCAUUGGAGAAUUGUUUUUUUUUUUCAUCUUGUAAAAGUGAAUAUCUCUAGUCCUGCAGAUGUUAUAGACUCUCAAUAUCCAGUUGCCUUAAUGGCGACUGGCUGAUGUUACAUACAUGCUGAUCAGAUCUGUUUAGGUCUAUAUAUAUUUGGGCUUACUAUGCUGGCAUAUAUGUUCAUUGGAAGCACUUGCUUGCAGUUUUUUGUGUUAAAUGUUUAUUACCAGAAAUAAAAUGACUAUACAUGCAAAUCACACACUCAAAAUGAAUGCAGAUAAGGAAUUAAUUCGGAAUUUUUCUACCUCUUCUUUCCCACCUCAGUCUCUUAUCUAUUGAUCCAAUUUAAUAAAAACUUCUUCCCACCAGCAUCAUAUACAAGUGGUAAGUGUUUAAUUCCUCAAGUUCUGUACUAAAACAUGGACUAUUAAAUGCAUGCUUAGUGUCAGAUACUGCUAUUCUCAUCUGUCAUCACUCUUCUUUGAUGAAUACAAUCAUUUAUACUCUUGUUAACAUUUCCUUUGAUGAAUUAUUUGUUAUUUGGCUUGGUUUGUUACAUAUUAUUUUUUACAACUCCGAUAUUUUACGUGCUUGAUGACACUUGUUAUUGGUUUUUAGAUCAUUUAUAAGUUUGGUUCUGUGCUUCCCACUUGUGCAAUUGUUUUUUUUAGCAAGAACAUAUAAUUUGCAUGUGAAAUAUAUUUUUUUGUGGAUUAUGUAUUUGUGCAUUUUUUUUUUAAAUUUUUGAAAAACCUUUUUUGGCAACAAUUAUUCGUUGGAAAUACAUAAUGGCGACGAUAAUUUAAAAUUGCUGGGAAAAAUAUCGAGUCAUUUGCGGCGAUUUCCCAACCUUUUGUGACGAUAUAUAUCGUCGAUUUUUGAGAUAUUUGUGACGGACAAAAAUUGCCGGAAAUAGUAAUUUUUUGUGACGAUUUUUAUAUAUUGCUGAAGUUAAUAAGAAAUGACACUUUAAUUUCAUCAAACAUGCAGCGAAUUAGAAAUCCUCGAAAAUGAUCAAUUGCAGCAAUUAUUAUUGGUAUUUAUGAAGAUCUUAAGUGCUGAAAAAUGUCUGAUUUAUUGUAGUCUUCGUACCCCCACUGAGCCACAUUUGCAUCAUGUACAUAUAUAAUACAUUCAGAGGCAGUCUGAAAAUCAAUGUGUAAGGCACGUUGGCUACCCUGCGUCUUCCCCUUUCAUUUCGAACUUAAACUGUUCGACGGAACUUGUUGGCCUGGGCCCUGCUUUGUGUGCUACAGCCUGCACCUUAAAGAUAUUUCUUGAUAGUGAAAAAAUAUAUGUUAAUAGAAUUUUUUUUUUUUUUUAUAAAGAACCGA
Juglans regia (Persian walnut) is the source of this 2844-nucleotide RNA transcript. RefSeq lists it as uncharacterized. The record is from RefSeq and is a predicted model, not a curated record. The transcript has 4 exons. Lineage: Eukaryota; Viridiplantae; Streptophyta; Magnoliopsida; Fagales; Juglandaceae.